This is an RNA transcript of Homo sapiens (human), 2526 nucleotides long. It is a transcript of the gene named choline/ethanolamine phosphotransferase 1, with no coding region annotated. Lineage: Eukaryota; Metazoa; Chordata; Mammalia; Primates; Hominidae. The transcript is spliced from 10 exons. The record is from RefSeq and is marked reviewed.
ACAACAGGAACGUGUACUCAACAGGAACGUGUACUCAAUUAGCUUUUGUGGGAAAGGGUUGAAGAUUCUUGGUAACUGCUUCAACAAACCAGAGGAAUUAAUUAGACCGCUGAUUUUCUCCGGAAGCGCGAAGCACUAGGCCGUUUGAGGAUCUCCGCUCCGCUUUGCCUGGGACCAGGAAAAGACGCGAGAGACGGAACUCGGCAUCAGGCACUGCUUGGGGCAGGAGGAGAGUAGGGGAAACCAAGGAAGAGAACAGAAAGGUAAGCACCAGCCACAAAAACCUACAAAAGAAGGGAAAUUACUGUCUUUAAAUAUUAAAAAAAAACAAGAUCCAUGAGUGGGCAUCGAUCAACAAGGAAAAGAUGUGGAGAUUCUCACCCGGAGUCCCCAGUGGGCUUCGGGCAUAUGAGUACUACAGGAUGUGUAUUAAAUAAAUUGUUUCAGUUACCAACACCACCAUUGUCAAGACACCAACUAAAGCGGCUAGAAGAACACAGAUAUCAAAGUGCUGGACGGUCCCUGCUUGAGCCCUUAAUGCAAGGGUAUUGGGAAUGGCUCGUUAGAAGAGUUCCCUCCUGGAUUGCCCCAAAUCUCAUCACCAUCAUUGGACUGUCAAUAAACAUCUGUACAACUAUUUUAUUAGUCUUCUACUGCCCUACAGCUACAGAGCAGGCACCUCUGUGGGCAUAUAUUGCUUGUGCCUGUGGCCUUUUCAUUUACCAGUCUUUGGAUGCUAUUGAUGGGAAACAGGCAAGAAGAACCAAUAGUAGUUCUCCUCUGGGAGAACUUUUUGAUCAUGGCUGUGAUUCACUAUCAACAGUUUUUGUGGUUCUUGGAACUUGUAUUGCAGUGCAGCUGGGGACAAACCCUGAUUGGAUGUUUUUUUGUUGUUUUGCGGGGACAUUUAUGUUCUAUUGUGCGCACUGGCAAACGUAUGUUUCUGGAACAUUGCGAUUUGGAAUGCUACUUCAUAUAUCCAGCAAAAUGUUCUAAGAUGUCUACCCUCCUCCACCCAAGACAGAAUCGAUCAUCUUUGACACCUACCUGCUUAGUCUCCUGAAUCUGCUACUGAGUGUAAUUCCCCUUAUUGGCAACACCACUCACCAGAAUUGAUGUGACUGAAGUGCAAAUCUUCAUAAUAAUCAUGCAUUUGCUGGCAGUGAUUGGAGGACCACCUUUUUGGCAAUCUAUGAUUCCAGUGCUGAAUAUUCAAAUGAAAAUUUUUCCUGCACUUUGUACUGUAGCAGGGACCAUAUUUUCCUGUACAAAUUACUUCCGUGUAAUCUUCACAGGUGGUGUUGGCAAAAAUGGAUCAACAAUAGCAGGAACAAGUGUCCUUUCUCCUUUUCUCCAUAUUGGAUCAGUGAUUACAUUAGCUGCAAUGAUCUACAAGAAAUCUGCAGUUCAGCUUUUUGAAAAGCAUCCCUGUCUUUAUAUACUGACAUUUGGUUUUGUGUCUGCUAAAAUCACUAAUAAGCUUGUGGUUGCACACAUGACGAAAAGUGAAAUGCAUUUGCAUGACACAGCAUUCAUAGGUCCGGCACUUUUGUUUCUGGACCAGUAUUUUAACAGCUUUAUUGAUGAAUAUAUUGUACUUUGGAUUGCCCUGGUUUUCUCUUUCUUUGAUUUGAUCCGCUACUGUGUCAGUGUUUGCAAUCAGAUUGCGUCUCACCUGCACAUACAUGUCUUCAGAAUCAAGGUCUCUACAGCUCAUUCUAAUCAUCAUUAAUGAUGUAAUUGGUAUAUAGGAACAUCAUGUUUUCUGCAGGAAAGAAAGUAACAUAUUAAGGAGAAUGGGGGUGGAUAAGAACAAAUAUAAUUUAUAAUAAUCAAUGUUGUAUAACUUUUAUUCUUUAUUAUUGGUAACACGCCCUAACUAUCCUGUGUGAGAAUGGGAAUUUCAAGUCCCAUCUUGUAAAUUGUAUAUGUUGUCAUGCAGGGUUUGGGCCAAGAAAGCAUGCAGAAAAAAAUGCCAUGUGAUUGUAAUUAUCCUGGAUUCAGAAUAAUACUGUGAUGGGGAGCCAGAUCCGCAGUGGUGGAGAGUUCUAAUGUUGACUGUUUGCAGGCCAAAAGAUGAUUGCUUUAUAAUUUUAACAAAUCAUUGUCUUUUAGUAACAUCCUUGUUUAGUGUCUUCUCAAGCUUUCUUUACUGAGGAAUUCAGCUUGUGACACAGAUACAUCCCACUAGCUUGUGAGGUGGAACUAGUAAUAAAGACCUUGAAUUUGGAUUGAAAAGUUUCCUAUCUUUACAUUGUUGAGGAAGUCCUUUUUUUUUUUUUUUUUUUUUUAAUUGCUCAAGAAAUGAUUCUCUCACAGGCUUGGGAAAUCCUGUUAGCAUGCAGAAUAAUGUGGUAACUUUGUCAAUUUCCCAUUUUAUUUUUUUAAAUAAAUAUAUGAUCUAAAAGCCAACUUUUUCUCAGUUUUACUCAGUGGAAAGAUAAACUAAGUUUUAAUGUUAUUUUUUUAAAUUUAAGCAAAAUUUAUUUCUGUUCUUUAAUAAAUAAGAAAAUGUGGUCCACUGCA